Molecule: ribosomal RNA, 256 nt
Filed under: uncultured bacterium
Lineage: Bacteria
Description: partial 16S ribosomal RNA
Rfam family: Bacterial small subunit ribosomal RNA
Source: RNAcentral
UACGUAGGGGGCGAGCGUUAUCCGGAAUUACUGGGCGUAAAGCGCACGCAGGCGGUUCGCCAAGUUUGGAGUGACAGUUGUUCGGCUCAACCGACAAAAGGACUUCAAAAACUGGUGAACUUGAGGACGAGAGAGGAACAUGGAACUCCAGGUGUAGUAGUGAAAUGCGUAGAUAUCUGGAAAGAACACCAAUGGCGAAGGCAAUGUUCUGGCUCGUUUCUGACGCUCAGGUGCGAAAGCCAGGGGAGCGAACGGG